Molecule: long non-coding RNA, 254 nt
Filed under: Manihot esculenta (cassava)
Lineage: Eukaryota; Viridiplantae; Streptophyta; Magnoliopsida; Malpighiales; Euphorbiaceae
Description: long non-coding RNA (MESC_LNC011203)
Source: RNAcentral
CAACAACCAAUCCACAUCAACAUCAUAAAUGCAAUGCAACAUAUUCGUGAAUUCUAAUGCAAGCAACCUACUAUAUCUCAUGGCAUUCAUGAUGCAUGGAUCAUGCUCAAAAUUCAUAUUUCAUUUAUUUUAAAACUUAAAGUUUAUUCCACUCACCUCUGGCUAGCUCUGACAAACUCUGUAGCAGCUGGCUCACUGCUGGGGUCCUCGGUUCCUCGGGUCCGAACCUACACAGGUGGACUCCAAUGAGGGAC